UACAUGGGGUGCAAACGUUGUUCGGAAUUACUGGGCGUAAAGCGCGUGUAGGCGGCUAAGUAAGUCGGGCGUGAAAUCCCACGGCUCAACCGUGGAAGUGCACUCGAAACUGCAUAGCUAGAGUCCUGGAGAGGAAGGUGGAAUGCUUGGUGUAGAGGUGAAAUUCGUAGAUAUCAAGCGGAACACCGGUGGCGAAGGCGGCCUUCUGGACAGUGACUGACGCUGAGACGCGAAAGCGUGGGGAGCAAACAGG
RNAcentral lists this ribosomal RNA (253 nucleotides) under uncultured bacterium. Its description in RNAcentral is "partial 16S ribosomal RNA". It matches the Rfam family "Bacterial small subunit ribosomal RNA", at positions 524 to 776 of the family's 1533-position model. The record is from RNAcentral.